UACGGAGGGUGCAAGCGUUAUCCGGAUUCACUGGGUUUAAAGGGUGCGUAGGUGGGCAGGUAAGUCAGUGGUGAAAUCUCUGGGCUUAACCCGGAAACUGCCGUUGAUACUAUCUGUCUUGAAUAUCGUGGAGGUAAGCGGAAUAUGUCAUGUAGCGGUGAAAUGCUUAGAUAUGACAUAGAACACCGAUUGCGAAGGCAGCUUACUACACGAUCAUUGACGCUGAGGCACGAAAGCGUGGGGAGCAAACAGG
This 253-nucleotide ribosomal RNA is filed under the name uncultured bacterium. RNAcentral's name for it is "partial 16S ribosomal RNA". It matches the Rfam family "Bacterial small subunit ribosomal RNA", at positions 524 to 776 of the family's 1533-position model. The record is from RNAcentral.